RNAcentral lists this long non-coding RNA (221 nucleotides) under Marmota monax (woodchuck). Lineage: Eukaryota; Metazoa; Chordata; Mammalia; Rodentia; Sciuridae. The record is from RNAcentral.
AUCAGUGUAAGGAUGGCCUUAACCUAAGAAGGGCCUUAGCCUAAUUCUCCAUUUUAAAAUAAAACUGCAGUUCCCACCAGGCAUGCCCACGGAGCCCUCCAAUAUUGUCAUCAGGCACAGCCUGAUAAUAAAAUAAGUCACUUUCCACAACCCUGAUAAAACUCAGAGUGAAGUCACUGUCAUUCGCCCUGAUAAAGUCAGAGGCAAGAGAUCAGAGAAGG